GACGAACGCUGGCGGCGUGCUUAACACAUGCAAGUCGAACGGAAAGGCCCUGCUUUUGUGGGGUGCUCGAGUGGCGAACGGGUGAGUAACACGUGAGUAACCUGCCCUUGACUUUGGGAUAACUUCAGGAAACUGGGGCUAAUACCGGAUAGGAGCUCCUGCUGCAUGGUGGGGGUUGGAAAGUUUCGGCGGUUGGGGAUGGACUCGCGGCUUAUCAGCUUGUUGGUGGGGUAGUGGCUUACCAAGGCUUUGACGGGUAGCCGGCCUGAGAGGGUGACCGGCCACAUGGGGAUGGAGAUACGGCCCAGACUCCUACGGGAGGCAGGAGUGGGGAAUAUUGCACAAGGGGCGGAAGCCUGAUGCAGCAACCCCGCGGGCGGGAUGACGGCCUUCGGGUUGUAAACCGCUUUCGCCUGUGACGAAGCGUGAGUGGCGGUAAUGGGUAAAGAAGCACCGGCUAACUACGU
This 467-nucleotide ribosomal RNA is filed under the name uncultured bacterium. Its description in RNAcentral is "partial 16S ribosomal RNA". It matches the Rfam family "Bacterial small subunit ribosomal RNA", at positions 28 to 506 of the family's 1533-position model. The record is from RNAcentral.